UAGUACCGAAGUUCCUGAUGUCACACUGCCGAGAAAAGCUUCUAGUGAGAAAACAGCGGCCCGUACCGCAAACCGACACAGGUAGUCGAGGAGAGAAUCCUAAGGUGAGCGAGAGAACUCUCGUUAAGGAACUCGGCAAAAUGACCCCGUAACUUCGGGAGAAGGGGUGCUGAUCAUACGAUCAGCCGCAGUGAAUAGGCCCAAGCGACUGUUUAUCAAAAACACAGGUCUCUGCAAAAUCGUAAGAUGAAGUAUAGGGGCUGACGCCUGCCCGGUGCUGGAAGGUUAAGAGGAGUGCUUAGCGCAAGCGAAGGUACGAAUUGAAGCCCCAGUAAACGGCGGCCGUAACUAUAACGGUCCUAAGGUAGCGAAAUUCCUUGUCGGGUAAGUUCCGACCCGCACGAAAGGCGUAACGAUUUGGGCACUGUCUCAACGAGAGACUCGGUGAAAUUUUAGUACCUGUGAAGAUGCAGGUUACCCGCGACAGGACGGAAAGACCCCAUGGAGCUUUACUGUAGUUUGAUAUUGAGUGUCUGUACCGCAUGUACAGGAUAGGUAGGAGCCGUAGAAAUCGGAACGCUAGUUUCGAUGGAGGCGCUGGUGGGAUACUACCCCUGCGUUAUG
Molecule: ribosomal RNA, 624 nt
Filed under: Enterococcus faecium
Lineage: Bacteria; Bacillati; Bacillota; Bacilli; Lactobacillales; Enterococcaceae
Description: partial 23S ribosomal RNA
Rfam family: Bacterial large subunit ribosomal RNA
Source: RNAcentral